Pteronotus mesoamericanus is the source of this 4418-nucleotide RNA transcript. It is a transcript of the gene named myelin associated oligodendrocyte basic protein, with no coding region annotated. The transcript is spliced from 7 exons. The record is from RefSeq and is a predicted model, not a curated record. Lineage: Eukaryota; Metazoa; Chordata; Mammalia; Chiroptera; Mormoopidae.
CCUUGUGUAAUGAAAAACUGGGAUAUAUAAUCUCUCCCUAUAUAUUCCGCAUGCAUUGAGUAGCCUCAGCCUCCCCAGGGAUCUGAUACAGACGUGGAACCUGUUUCACACAACUGCUGCCUGACGGAAGAAAAGAAGCAAAUGAUACCAAGACAAGCGCAUAACAGAGAUCUAAUCACUAGAUGUGUAUGGAUGAAAAUACAGUGAGAUGAGUCAGAAAACGACUAAGGAGGGUCCUAGACUCUCCAAGAACCAAAAGUUUUCCGAGCACUUCAGCAUACAUUGCUGCCCGCCAUUCACCUUCCUCAACUCCAAGCGGGAGAUCGUGGACCGGAAAUACAGCAUCUGCAAGAGUGGCUGCUUCUACCAGAAGAAGGAGGAGGACUGGAUCUGCUGUGCCUGCCAGAAGACCAGAUUGAAAAGGAGGAUCAAGCCAACCCCAAGGAAGAAGUAACCGAAGAGGAGUUUCAGGUGGAUGGAUGGCCUCGACCCCAGGACUCACUGCUUCCUGACCCACGUGCCCUGGGGUGAGCCAUCCGGUUUCGAAUACGAUGCAGAGGCAGACGCCUGCUGAUGCCCAAGGUCUCCCCGGCACGGGGGCCGCCGGGCAGCCUGGCUGGAGCAUUUUGAAGAUGUCAUCUUAUUGUCUUCUGACCUCUGUAAUUGCCAAUGAGAAAUCUGCUGUCAUUUUACUUGUCUUCCAUUGACUCAAGUUUCUUCAGUAUGAAGAUAUAUAUCUUCAGGGAUGUGCAAAAGAUAUUGUACAACCAUAAUAUUGGCAAAAACUAAAAAUUAUCAAGUGUUGGCAAAGAUGUAGGGAAAAUUCUCAUAAAAUACUAGUGAGAAUAUAUAAACUAUUACAACACCUUUGGGUUGAAGUCUGGGGAUACUAGCAAAGCAGCAGAUUGUAUAAAUUAUGAUCAAGCAAUUAUGAUUUUAGGUACCCAUCCUAUAGAAAACUUGCAUCCAUAGAAAAAGGAGAAACAUAUAAAUCUGUUCAGUGAUGCAUGGUUUGCCAUUGGAAAAGAAAGAGACACAGAAAGAAAUUAAUCACAAUAUCCACCGAUAAGAGAAGGAACGAAUCAAUAAUAGUAUAUUCAUAAAUAAAAUCUUAAACAGCAGUUCAAACAAGUGAAUCAUAUAUGCCCAUACCAGGUAAAUAAAUUUGGAAAGCAAAAUAAAAAAUCAAAUGGUAGAUGGUAAGUGCAAUAUGAUGGCUUAUACAAAAGUUUGAACAACCUGCAAUACUAUAAUUGCCAACUAAACAGAAACCAUAAGAUCUUGCACUUUCUCUAUGAUGCAACAGAAUUUUUAAAAAUGAUAACAAAAUAAAAGGUUCUCCAAGAAAUACCUCUUCUCUUGGAAAUCAAAAAAGAAGAUUUGAAAUAAUUCCCGGUUUGAAGAAAUAGUAGAAAUUAAGAGCUAUAUAGAAAUGGUCAGCAACAUUAGCCCAACACAAAUGUUUUUGGAAAGAUAAGUGGGUGACUAAUAAGCUUGGGGUCUCUCCAAAGUUGCAAGUCUUAGAAAACAAACACAUCUGUUCUGAGUCACUUUUGGAUCUGGAUUGUAUUGUGACUCCUGUAGGUUUCUGACAUGGGGAAAAAUGGGACUAAUUAGAACACUCCCCUCUCCCAACCUUUCUUUAGAAAUAGGUAGAAAAACACAGUAGAAGAUAAUAGAAUGUUGUCGAAUGUUGAGGGAUGUUAGGUGGAGGGAAACUCAAAGUGAAGGAGAAUUCAGGGCAGGCCUGUGCUGGGAGCCUGGGUGGAAGCUCAGGCACAUGCCUGAAGCUCUACGAAAGCGUGGCUCUGUGUCCUUGAGUGAGCACAGCCCGACCCAGCCAAGUUUAAGGGGCAAGUGAGAAUAUAGGGCAAUGCCAGAGGAAGAAGUCUUGUUCAAGGUGUGGGGCUGGGGUGAGAAGAAAUGUCAGAGAGUAGGGAGGAAGUGUAUUAGACUCAGAUGAGAUAUUGCUCAGAAUUCCAACCCCCCGGAAAGAGGAAUCAGGCCAAGUACUGUCUCAAGGCAGCUGGGGGCAAGGCCCGAGUGUCCUGGCCUCCUCGUUUGGGGAGGCCGUCCCUGUCUGUGGAAGUGGCAAUAAAAAGGCAGGGGAAUUCAGAUGCACAGAGCCUUCAGGGAGAAAUGUUUCUCCUGCCUCAAUUUAGGUGCUAAAUGAACAACAAAAUGAGAACCUCUACUAUGAACAAUUUCCAGCGAUGGGGUAUCUGAGGCCAUUACAUUCCUGGGAAUGACACCAGGGGUGCCAUGACAGACUAGUAGGAAGGAGAAAUUAGUGGGUCCGCCCCUCUGGGACCCCGUAAGGAAACCGAACAUUUCCUCAGUCCAGUUUAGAUUUUGGCAAAGCCAGGCCUCAUACUCAGAGCUUGCUGGGCUCUGUCCUCCAUAUCAUCCAGAGACACACAGUUAUGACAGGUGCAAAACUAGGGAGGAGAGAGCAUAGUAUGUAUUCAUUCAUGUAAAAAAUGGAUGUCAGCACAGAACUGUUAAUAACUAGAAAUUACUGAGUUUUCUGUGUUUGUCUGUUGUGGAAAUAAAACCCUCUGGAAACUGGUAAAUAACUAAAUGUAAUGUGCCUUGGAUAUUAUAACUAAAAUGUACUAUAAUCUAAUAGUGUUUUGGUUUUUUUUUGUCUUUUAAGGGUUGGUUCUGGGGAGCGUUAUUCAGUGAAUUUUGCAGAAAUUAUAUAAAGCUCCAAAAGCUAUUCUAUGUAAACUUCUUGAGUGGGAAUUCUCAACCAUGAUGUUUGGCAUGUUACUCUGAUAAUUCUGGAUGUCAACUGAUUUUAUGUUCUGACAUUUUGACUAGUUCCGGGGAAACUGAGGUAUGUGCCCAGAGUUGUUCUGUAAAUGCUUAACAAUUGGCUCUCUGGGUGCAAAGUCCCGGUUUCUAGUGUUGGCCAAUUUCCAUGGUGUAAAUACUUCCACUCUGGCUGACUGCAAGCUAUGAACAUGAUGAUAUCACCAAAUGCAGAACUGGAAAGAGAUGUGCACAGUUGACUCUUUUGAGUUGGUACAGGCCCCUGUAUGUACCCAUGAGCCUCUGUGAAAUUAGUUUUAUACUAUCUGUUCCAUCAAGAUACAAAGGUACCAGUAAAAUAAAAAAAUAUGAAGGGGAAAUAAAAUAAAUUCAAACUGGGGAGUUCAAGUGGAGAAAAUGGACAGAUUUUUUUUUGAAACUUUGAGAAGUGGUAUUUGUCUAUAAUCCACAUUUCAUUAUUCUGUUUUACUAAGCAAACAUACUACCUAUUGCACUGAGUGUACUGAGCUCUUAGUUUCUUUGGUGACCCCCUAUAAGAAUGCUGAGGCUUCUUUUCAGAUAUUGGUGCUAAGGCGAUGCAGACCAGAGACUCAAUGGGACUUGCAUACUGUGAAGCCAGUUUCAGGAUGGCUGACAUGAGGGUCAAGGGAAAAAAAAGAUAUGGUGCCUUCUGAACAAUGAACAAUUUCAUUGAAAUUGAUGAAAUUUACUGAUGUCGUUUGGUAUGAUAAUAUAGAGCUUUUCAAGUUAACAUUAAUUAAAACAAAAAGUAGUUCAGAAACUGGAAAAAAUGGAUUAAUAAACCCUUCUAUUAGAGUAAGUCGAGAAGAAGUUGUUAAAAUAGAGGCGAACUGGAAUAGCAAUAAGAACCCAUGGACGUUUUUUAAAGGGGGUUUUCUCUGUUCUGCCCCACCGUGAUUUAUACUAUUGGAGAUUUAUGUGCCACCUGCCAAAUUCCAGUCAAAAUGCAGAAAAACGUAUUUGUAGAAAGAGCAGCUGUGUCCUCUAAAACUAUUGUCCAGAGAAAGGAACAGGUCCCCUUGGAAGACAGUUGAUUUCCUCUUUCUGGGCAGGAAGGAAGCUCAGGACUGGUUUGUGAAUUCCAGAUGUUGAAAGGAAACGCGGUUGCAUUAGGGUAUCGGAGUCAUGAACCCACCAUGAUGGAAAAGGGAAGAUAAAACAGAAUGGCCUGGAAAACACACCUGGUUUCUGAAACUGUUUACUGAAAAGACUGCAGAUGGACAGACACAAGUUUUACGAGGCCUACACUUCAGUUUUCAGAAUCCACAGUUUGAAAAUGCAGGAUGCUGUUAUUUUCUAUAAGGCAAUGGAUCUGUAGCAGGGCGCUGUCAGAAGGGGUAUCACAGGGCAUUAUUGAUACCCCAAAGAUGCCUGUGAUGUGGUUGAUUGGCUAGAAAAGGAUGCAAGCAGAUUGGAGAGAAAUCAGGGUUUUUGGUGAUGCCGGGAUCACUCUUAGGAGUUUUUAUCUCCCCAGCCUAAACUGUAGUCUUUCCGAAGUGUUACCAGUAGCCAGCAGAGGGAGCUCUUGUUGCAGCUAAGAAACAAAAUUACUGUAUUUUUCAGGAAUGGAUCCUGUGAACUCCGAACUCCGAGUUUCCAGGUUUUAAUGGAGACAGAGAGAA